This 301-nucleotide ribosomal RNA is filed under the name uncultured bacterium. RNAcentral's name for it is "partial 16S ribosomal RNA". It matches the Rfam family "Bacterial small subunit ribosomal RNA", at positions 509 to 807 of the family's 1533-position model. The record is from RNAcentral.
CAGCCGCCGCGGUAAUACGGAGGGUGCAAGCGUUACUCGGAAUCACUGGGCGUAAAGGACGCGUAGGCGGAUUAUCAAGUCUCUUGUGAAAUCUAACGGCUUAACCGUUAAACUGCUUGGGAAACUGAUAAUCUAGAGUAAGGGAGAGGCAGAUGGAAUUCUUGGUGUAGGGGUAAAAUCCGUAGAGAUCAAGAAGAAUACCCAUUGCGAAAGCGAUCUGCUGGAACUUAACUGUCGCUAAUGCGUGAAAGCGUGGGGAGCAGACAGGAUUAGAUACCCGCGUAGUCCCUGUCUCUUAUAC